GCUUUAGUAGUUUAACGGUUAAAACCCCGACCUCAUAUGUUGGUAAUGGAAGUUCGAUUCUCCCCUAAAGCU
Molecule: transfer RNA, 72 nt
Filed under: Ustilaginoidea virens
Lineage: Eukaryota; Fungi; Ascomycota; Sordariomycetes; Hypocreales; Clavicipitaceae
Description: tRNA-Met (CAT) (tRNA-Met-CAT-4-1)
Rfam family: tRNA
About the family: Transfer RNA (tRNA) molecules are approximately 80 nucleotides in length. Their secondary structure includes four short double-helical elements and three loops (D, anti-codon, and T loops).
Source: Rfam by way of RNAcentral